This 304-nucleotide unclassified non-coding RNA is filed under the name Hevea brasiliensis (rubber tree). Lineage: Eukaryota; Viridiplantae; Streptophyta; Magnoliopsida; Malpighiales; Euphorbiaceae. The record is from RNAcentral.
AAAAAAAAAAAAAAAAAAAAACCAAACCCCCCUUUUUUUUCAUUUUCCUUUCUGUUUUUCACCCUUUUCUAGCGAAAAUUUGGAGAGGAGGGUAGGUAGCCACUGACUUGCUACAUCUUAACAACCUUCACCACCACCACCACCACCACCAAUUUAUACCAACUGCCCAAACCUCACUACCCACCAAUCCCAAUCAUUUCCUUUUCCUCUUCUUCUUCUCUUGGCACUGAAUUCGAUACUUGUUCAAUGGCUUCUUCUUCUCUUUCAUCCAAGCCUUUCCUUGGGGCUUACCGGCUUGAUGGGU